This is a non-coding RNA of Pelobates cultripes (western spadefoot toad), 243 nucleotides long. The record is from the annotation of a GenBank genome assembly. NCBI's taxonomy places the organism in Eukaryota, Metazoa, Chordata, Amphibia, Anura, Pelobatidae.
CAUACCAUUUGCAAAAGCAGACAACCCAGGGUAUUCAAUAUGGGGUAUUUCCAGUAUUUUUUAGUAGCCACUUAGUCACAAACACCGGCCAAGGUUAGCAUUUAUAAUAGUUUGUGUAUUAAAAUGCAAAAAACAAUUAUGAACGCUAACUUUGGCCAGUGUUUGUGACUAAGUGGCUACUAAAAAGGAUUGGACAUACACCAUUUGCAAUACCUUGGGUUGUCUACUUUUGCAAAUGGUAAG